RNAcentral lists this unclassified non-coding RNA (1946 nucleotides) under Hevea brasiliensis (rubber tree). The record is from RNAcentral. Lineage: Eukaryota; Viridiplantae; Streptophyta; Magnoliopsida; Malpighiales; Euphorbiaceae.
AGAGAGUAAUAAACUGAUCUGAAAUACCUUUUUUUUUUAUUCAUUUUAGGAUUUUGUUUAAUUAAUCCACCUAACAAACAAAAAUUACACCAAGAGCCACUUACUUAUGCAUACACAUGCCAUUUCCACAUUAACAUUCUUCUAAAACUGGGAGACUAUAUACAAGCAUUGAUUCCUUGCUGCUAAGUGCUAAGUUUGGUUUUUGCAUGGUCUGGAAAGCUGACUUCGCUCGCAAUAUAUGCACGUUAACACAUUCUGUAAACGCUUUACAGGUACUACCUUCAAGUGCACUUCAAUACCAUGAGAACAGCACCCCAAGUAACAUGAUCGAUGCAUUAGCAUUCAGCACACAAAGGGAAAAGAUUGGUCAUAUCAAAUUCGUAGUUGCUCUAUUACACUUGUGAGGGCUAUUAAUGUGCUUGAUCCUGUGACUAUCCAGCUUGGCUGGAAAGGGUGAUGUUGGCAUGUCCUUUGAUAUGUUUUUUUCUAAGGUGGUUAGAACCUCGAUCAUCUGUGGCCUAUUUUUGGAAUCUGUAUGCAGGCAUUGCAAUGCAAGUGCAGCUGCAGCUUGGGCUCCUUUCUUGGAGUACUGACCUCCCAAUCUGGUGUCCAUGAUUCUCAAAACUCGCCUGGGGUCACUCAGGAAAGGUUUUGCCCAAUCCACCAGAGUUUCUUCAACAAAAUUGGCUCUCUCAUCAUCCAUUGCCCUUCUUCCUGAUAGUAAUUCUAGCAUGACAACACCAAAGCUAUACACGUCGCUCUUUGGAGUCAAGUGACCUGUAGCUACAUAUUCUGGUGCAGCAUAACCCCGAGUUCCCACCACUUUGGUCGAAACAUGAGUGUUAUCUCCUGUAGGACCAUCUCUUGCUAGGCCAAAAUCUGAAAGCCUCGCAUUAUAAUCCGAAUCAAGUAGAAUAUUGGAUGCCUUCAAGUCACGAUAGAUUACAUUGGCAUUUAAACCAUGUAAGAAGGAUAAUCCCCUUGCUACAUCAAUGGCAAUGCGCAUCCGUGUAGCCCAGGGAAUAGGUUGAUCCCUUCUGAAUAAAUGACUCUCCAAACUUCCCUUGGGCAUAAACUCAUAAACUAGAAGUCUGUUCUCAGACUCAGCACAAUACCCAAUGAGCUUCACCAGAUUUUCAUGACGAAGCUGACCUAGAUAGUUAACUUCUGCAAGCCACUCCUUAUGGCCCUGAAAGCUUUCAGCCUUGAGCCUCUUUACUGCCACAACAAUCCCAGUUCCCGGUUUAGUAGGAGCUAAAGUAUUCUCAUCAAGCCAUCCUUUGAAAACGCACCCAAAACCACCCUCUCCAAGCAAUGUUUCGGAGCGAAAGUUCUUGGUGGCAUUCUUUAGGUCACUAAAGCUAAAGGACUUGAGAUUGCUGGGAACAGAUGCAUCAACCGUGCUUGUUAUCAAAGAUUUGUUGAAGCUUCCCAGUGAAGCUUGCUGGCAGGAAGAGGUUGAAUCCUGCUUCAACUCAUUAUUAUGAGACUUUUUGCUUCCAGAAGAAAAAUUAGUAGAAGAAGCAUGAGCGCACUUGGCUGGUUUUCUGCAGCAGUUUCCCAUAAUUAAUAUCAAAAAACUUCUUCUCCCACAGAACAAAAAGAAGAAGAGGAGUAAACUUGAAAUUUCUGAAAGGCAAGAAGGCCAAAUAAUAGUAACAAAAAAAGAGACAGAGGUAAAAGAGAAUGGUUAAAAGCGUCCAUUUGAUUUUAUUUGUUUAUUGACGGGAAUAAGAGAAAAGGAGGAGAAGUAGGAGGAGGAGAAGAAGGAGAUAAGCAGGCAAUCUGGUCAAUGAAGGAAACCUCCAUUAGCGUAUCAAAUUCAAUGCAACUGCCAGAGAGAAGGGACCCACGCAUUCAUAUCUGACUUUACACAAACACCACUACUACUACCUUACACAUAAAGACAGACAUAGCAAUGCAUAGGCCCCUCAGAGCCCUUCGUC